RNAcentral lists this ribosomal RNA (510 nucleotides) under uncultured bacterium. RNAcentral describes it as "partial 16S ribosomal RNA". It matches the Rfam family "Bacterial small subunit ribosomal RNA", at positions 28 to 507 of the family's 1533-position model. The record is from RNAcentral.
GACGAACGCUGGCGGCGUGCUUAACACAUGCAAGUCGAACGAAGAGCGAUGGAAGCUUGCUUCUAUCAAUCUUAGUGGCGAACGGGUGAGUAACGCGUAAUCAACCUGCCCUUCAGAGGGGGACAACAGUUGGAAACGACUGCUAAUACCGCAUACGAUCUAAUCUCGGCAUCGAGGAUAGAUGAAAGGUGGCCUCUACAUGUAAGCUAUCACUGAAGGAGGGGAUUGCGUCUGAUUAGCUAGUUGGAGGGGUAACGGCCCACCAAGGCGAUGAUCAGUAGCCGGUCUGAGAGGAUGAACGGCCACAUUGGGACUGAGACACGGCCCAGACUCCUACGGGAGGCAGCAGUGGGGAAUCUUCCGCAAAGGACGAAAGUCUGACGGAGCAACGCCGCGUGAGUGAUGACGGCCUUCGGGUUGUAAAGCUCUGUUAAUCGGGACGAAAGGCCUUCUUGCGAAUAGUGAGAAGGAUUGACGGUACCGGAAUAGAAAGCCACGGCUAACUACGUG